RNAcentral lists this ribosomal RNA (690 nucleotides) under Shigella sp. Its description in RNAcentral is "bacterial SSU rRNA". It matches the Rfam family "Bacterial small subunit ribosomal RNA", at positions 28 to 707 of the family's 1533-position model. Lineage: Bacteria; Pseudomonadati; Pseudomonadota; Gammaproteobacteria; Enterobacterales; Enterobacteriaceae. The record is from RNAcentral.
AUUGAACGCUGGCGGCAGGCUUAACACAUGCAAGUCGAACGGUAACAGGAAGCAGCUUGCUUCUUCGCUGACGAGUGGCGGACGGGUGAGUAAUGUCUGGGAAACUCCUUGAUGGAGGGGGAUAACUACUGGAAACGGUAGCUAAUACCGCAUAACGUCGCAAGACCAAAGAGGGGGACCUUCGGGCCUCUUGCCAUCGGAUGUGCCCAGAUGGGAUUAGCUAGUAGGUGGGGUAACGGCUCACCUAGGCGACGAUCCCUAGCUGGUCUGAGAGGAUGACCAGCCACACUGGAACUGAGACACGGUCCAGACUCCUACGGGAGGCAGCAGUGGGGAAUAUUGCACAAUGGGCGCAAGCCUGAUGCAGCCAUGCCGCGUGUAUGAAGAAGGCCUUCGGGUUGUAAAGUACUUUCAGCGGGGAGGAAGGGAGUAAAGUUAAUACCUUUGCUCAUUGACGUUACCCGCAGAAGAAGCACCGGCUAACUCCGUGCCAGCAGCCGCGGUAAUACGGAGGGUGCAAGCGUUAAUCGGAAUUACUGGGCGUAAAGCGCACGCAGGCGGUUUGUUAAGUCAGAUGUGAAAUCCCCGGGCUCAACCUGGGAACUGCAUCUGAUACUGGCAAGCUUGAGUCUCGUAGAGGGGGGUAGAAUUCCAGGUGUAGCGGUGAAAUGCGUAGAGAUCUGGAGGAAU